Molecule: unclassified non-coding RNA, 268 nt
Filed under: uncultured fungus
Lineage: Eukaryota; Fungi
Description: sequence contains ITS1, 5.8S rRNA gene
Rfam family: 5.8S ribosomal RNA (bases 220-268)
Source: RNAcentral
UUUCCGUAGGUGAACCUGCGGAAGGAUCAUUAAUGAAUGAAUGUAGAGUCGUUUGUAGCUGGCCUCCCCGGAGGCAUGUGCACGCCUGUGGUGAAUUCAUCCAUACACACCUGUGAACCUAUUGUGGGACGCCCUUCGGGGUGAAUCCCAUGUUUUACACACACUCUUGUAUGUCUAUAGAAUGUAAAGCUUGUAUUGCCGUAAAACGCAAACUUAUACAACUUUCAACAACGGAUCUCUUGGCUCUCGCAUCGAUGAAGAACGCAGC